Small nucleolar RNA from Molossus molossus (Pallas's mastiff bat), 124 nucleotides. RefSeq annotates it as small nucleolar RNA SNORA28. NCBI's taxonomy places the organism in Eukaryota, Metazoa, Chordata, Mammalia, Chiroptera, Molossidae. The record is from RefSeq and is a predicted model, not a curated record. The transcript has a single exon.
AAGCAGCAAUCUGGCAGAUGAUCAAAACUGUCUGACACACUUUGAGCUUGCUAUAGCAACAAAGUCUAGCCUAUUCCAGUGCUCUCUCCUGUAUGACAUAAGCCAUUACAUAGACUUAGACAGU